Long non-coding RNA from Ictalurus furcatus (blue catfish), 1253 nucleotides. RefSeq lists it as uncharacterized. Lineage: Eukaryota; Metazoa; Chordata; Actinopteri; Siluriformes; Ictaluridae. The transcript is spliced from 2 exons. The record is from RefSeq and is a predicted model, not a curated record.
UCAAGUGCCUGACAGCUUCAUCAUCUACAAUUCUUGCCUCCACCAACAGAUGGCGGUGAAGGUACCGACAAAAAGGAACUAAAAUCCUGCUCAGGAUCUUGUACGUUUUGAACGACGUACACGACAUAACCGGAAGUUUAAUAUUUUAUGGAGGGCUAAUAUUAUAGGUGUUCAGAGAAUGUUUCUGGUCUUCAUCAAAACAAAUCAUAACCAUAAAUAUUCCUCUCGCUUGCCUUUUUGCUUUAAACUUCCACAGAAAAGAAGACUCAACCGUACGAAGAAGAUAAAGAAGGGUCACAGGGAAACCUGGAGCCUAUCCCAGGGAGCAUGGAGCACAAGGCAGGGUACACCCUGGACAAUCACAUACACAUUCACACACCCAUUCAUACACUACAGACACUUUGGACAUGCCAAUCAGCCUACCAUGCAUGUCUUUGGACUGGGUGAGGAAACCCGAGUAUCCGGAGGAAACCCCGCAGCAUGGGGAGAACAUGCAAACUCCACACACACAGGUGGGAAUCAAACCCCAAAUCUGGAGGUGUGAGGCAAACGUGCUAACCACUAAGCCACCGUGCGCUGUGUUUAUGUUAAUGUGUUUAAAUAAUUGUUUAAGACGUUGUAGUUAAAACAUAGAAGGCACUCUACAACUAUCUGUUAUAAUGGCUGCUCCGAGAACUCCUAAUACCCCUAGAAGACUGAUGUGUAUUUCACCAACAAGAGGACCUGUCGAAAUGAGAGAGGACCUGACUUUUGCUCCGAGAAAAAAAAACAGAUAUUAGUUUGACAAAGUUUCUUCAUGAAGAUGAAGUUAUUGUAAAGACAUUGUUGUUUUUUAACCCUGAGCAGGUCGUUACCAACUUUGAAGUCAGCCCUCAUAUUACAGGGAUUAAAAACGACUACAGAUCGGUACAUUUGCCACACACAUUUACAAUGUCUCAAGAAUCCAUGUCUGCCUACUGCUAAAGCAGCACUCCAGAGACAGUGUUGAUGUACCUGCUGCUGUAAAUGGAUGCAUUGUUGAUCCAAAAAUGUUUAACAAAACUCAAGAAUCAAAUGUCUGUUGUGAGAGCCACAAAUGAAUGGACAGACUUGAUGCAUAUGUGCAUUAAUGUGGGGAAACCAAUUUGUGUUUGUGAAAUUAUUGAAACACUGGUUGAUUACAUUCUUGAGAAAAACGCUGUGAUGUUUAUUAAAUUUCUACAGUCCCUUGAUUAUUUUCUUUUACAGAAAUAAAUACCAAAACGUUUAAACCA